GCAAACGGUAUUCUGGGAUACUGCCAUAUGAGUGUGUGCAGGAUGGUGUGAGCUCCACAUUUCUUAAUAUGAAGAGGGAGGUCGACUCGGUCAUAUGAUAAUGAACUGUUACAUAUCUUUUCUGUGGGAGUGGAAUGCCACGGGAAACUGUGCCUAUUCGUGGCAAGUUCAAGAUAAAAUGCAUAUGUCCUUGCAAUGAAGGCACACUUAUUUAUCCCGGAUUAUUUUGAAUCCAGAAGAUAUUAAAAUGUAAAUAUUUUACUAGUUUAUGGGUGACAUCUGAAAUAAUACACAUUAUACGUAUAUAAAUUACAGAAAUAUCAAGAGUUUACUAUAUGAUAUAAUUUCAGUAUUAACUGGUUAUCUCUUUUAUAUGUAAUCCCUUGAUGCCUUUUAUUAUUAAUUUUUGCAUUUAAAAUGUUUUUUUUUCCCUUGCCCACAUUUGGUUUCUGUACAAGAGCUCACAACUAUAAAUCAUGUUCAAUCACAUAAUAUAUGAUCUGGUGCUAGUAACGUAGAAGUUGAAUAUCAUAUUUGUUAAGAGCAUCUGUGCUUUUUAAGUUUCAAGGGUUUGACAGGAAAUGAAUGCAAACGUGAUGCUUAAUUUGGAUGUCCAAGUUACAUUGACAACAAUAUUUUUGCUACAUUGGCUUUAUAAGAAUUUCUCUUUAGUAUCCUCUGGCAAUGGUUAGGCUAACCAUUAGUCUGAUUUAGUAAUAACUAAGCAAUGGUUAGUCAGACUCCAGAGAAAGUUACUAGGAUAUAUUGGACAUCCCAGCAGAAAACAUUUCCUUCAGAAAUGACUUUAGGGACAUGUGUCCUUGCAUCAUUGAUCUGAUUGGAGGAGACCAGGGUUCACUGUGACAAUGGAAGGAACAAGGAAUUAAUAGCUCAAGAGCAUGACUGCUUUCAAGAAAGUGGGACCAGUGGCAUUGUAGCCACCAUAAUCACUAUAUUUAAGUAACUUUUCAUGUGUAUGCUUGUUUCCCCAAGAAAAUGAGAAAUAAACAUUCAACUAGACCAGUUUACAUAUUUUAAUACACUAAAUGCCAAUCUUUCUAAAAGUUUAGAUCCAUUAAUAAACUAUGUAUUUCUUGUUAAUUUUUUCAAACUGGUUAUCACCACAUUUCUGGGUCAUAAUCUUCUGUAUGUGAUCAUCACACCCAUUCUUACUGAUUAUGACACCAUGACCAAAGAAUUAUGAUCAUGUUUCAUUUUAUUUUGUUUCAAGAAAGAGACAGGAAAUGCAGGGGAUGAGGGAUGGGGUGGAUUCAAUUUUAUGUGGUGGUGAAAUUUAAGUUAAAAAAAUCAUAUAUAUCUUUUAAGAAGAACUUGUUAGUUGAAUAUAAAUAUUGCCACGAAUGAAUAAAAAAGAAACUAUCGCAUAUAUUUUGUAUAUUUAAAUUACUAUUUAUGCCUCCUAAAAUUGAUAGUAUGUGGUUCUUUGUUAACAAUCAAUUUAGUAUUAUAUUUCUGAGAGAAAAGAUGUGUUUUUGAAGUUAUUGUUAUAGCAGUUUUUCUUGUAAGGGUAUUGACAGCAAUAGUUCAGUGCUGCUCAAUAAAACCAAAUAUAACAGGAGUUAGAGAAUUUUUGUAAUCUAUAUUGCUACAAACCUAGUAAUGCUUUAUCAGUAAUAGUUUCUUUCAAAAGCCUCUUCAAUGUUAUAACAUGAUUUUCUAAUGUUUUAUAAUUAAUGUGUAUUUUGAUGUCCAAUUCAAAUUCUGAAAAAAUAAGGAAAAAGGUAAGUGGGAGCAGUGUAUGGUUGGUGUGUCUGUGAGUGUGCGUGCGUGUGUAUGUGUGUGUGUGUGAGUGUGUGUGUACAUGAACGAAUACUCAGUGGGAGAACUGUAUACAUAAAAUGCUUACUGAAGUUGCAGGUUCUGCUUGUAUAAUUCAGGUGGUAGAAAACCGGGAUCACAAAUACAGGAAAUUAUGAAGGGAUCUUAAGUAGCUUAAAUAAAACCCGCCAGCAUGUUUCACCAGCUAUAGAUUAUGUUUCAAACCAAAUAAUCUAUGAAGCACAAAUCUAAGGGUGAUGAAAAUGUGUUUAGAUAAAAUCAGAAUGGAAAUAAAAUGUGUUUAUGACCCAAGUUGUUAUCCUUAUUUAAGUUAUUAUGACCACAUAUACUCAAGCCUAUCAGUCAGACACAAGAUACUAAUUCUCAGCAUGUCUAUGAUACGUAUAUAUUCAGGCUCAGUAUGGUGAUGAUUAACCCUCCCUUAAAAUUUAUAUUUAGGGAACAUCUUUCUGUGGGGAGAUGCAAGUGUGUUUUUCAGAUGCGUAUCUUUCCCAUAUCACUCUGAUUUAGGCAGAAAGUUUAUUUAAUGUUGGCCAUUUGUCAAGAAGGAAACAAAAGUACUAAAAUGAUCUGUGUUGGAUUAAACCAUUCCCGUUUGUUCUAUCAAACUUAUGCUAGGGCCAGGUUUCAUGCACUCCUUUUUCAAAUGCAUUAUUUUCUGAGGCGGUAACUUGUUUGAAAAUUUGACCUUAGGCAACCAUUUUCAUUUAUUUCCGCAAAUCUCUACUUAAGUGGAAAGUGACUGAAAGAUCUGGAAAAGUGGCUUCACUGAGAUUUGACUCAAGAACUGUUAUUCUGUGCCUAUACGAUUGUCCAUUGUGGCAAUAAUCAUUCCAUGAUCAAUUUCCUUUUUGUGUAGUGUUUCUCUAAAUGGAGAAAAGGAGAUCAUUAGUAUGUAAAGAAAAAUAAGCUGACUCUCUGAAAGUAAUCAACUGGGACACUUCAAUAUAUUAAUUUGGUCAGAAUAUAGCCUACAGAUAGCCAGAACACUAUGCCAUGAUAAAGCUCAUAUUUCUAGCAGUGCCAAAGAACAAAUCAUAUCAUGGCCUGGUUAUCAGGUUGAAAGAGCUCAUACUUAUGAAAAAUGGUCCUUUCACAGCAAAUUUCAUAGAAACAGAAUUUUAUUGGAUGUCACAAGAUGCUUUUAUAUGUGAAACACUCCUUAGCAGAGAAGAUAUAAAUUUCUUUAGAAUUGAUGAAAAGAAAAUAUAAAAAUCUGCAUUUAUUUCAAUCGCAGAAGCCAGCAUCCUCUGAGGUAUAAGAGUAGUCUAUUACAUAAACACCGCCCACAUCUCUCCCAUGUUUAUGCUACUGAAGCAAGCUUGGCGCCAAAUGUGAUGGAUUUGUGUAACUGAAAGUUAAUACUCACCCAUGUAAAAUAAUUAGAAAAGUAAAACAAAACGUCCGGAGAUUUAAAUUUGUAGUUUUAAAGUAUUAUAUAUUCAAAUACAUGCCAAUUGUGUGGAGACAACUAGAUACAACUUUACUUUCCAAACUAGUGACAAAAUUUUCUUUGAAUGCUUCUAGAGAAUAAAAGAAUGUUUUUAUUACUACAUUUUGUUGGUAGGUCUUGCCUAUACAUGGAAUUUAGUUUGAUUCUUUUGAGCAAAUCUAGUGACUACGUCAAUAAAACUAAAGCCAUUGGGUUAUUAUUUUAACUAAUUAAAUAAGACAUCAACACAAUGCACGUACAAAUGCAAUUUUAAUAUCACUUCCAUGUUAAGACAAGUCAGCUUCCUAAAGUAGAAAAGAGCUUGUAAAAUAACUACACUCACAUGUGAAAUUAAGAAACAAUUCCUACGAUUUAAGCAGUAAGUUAUCCGAGAUGAGAGGGAAUUCACACUUGCAAAGAAAUAGAAGUAGAAUAGAUAGCAAUUCACAAUUCAUUGUGUCCCAAACUUAAGUGGAAAUAAAAGAAAAAUGGUACCUAUAGCAUUUAACAUUAUGUCACUACAUCUUCCAUGUAUACAAAAUAGACAGCUAAUUGUAGAAUGUGGACCAUUUGUUACUAAUCUGUUAUUUAACAGUUGAUUAUUGAGCAAACUUAUGUAUCAGGCAUUUAAAAAUUCUAAAGCACUUGGUGUUAAACAUUGAAAAAGAUGUUGUCCCACCCUUCAAGGAGCUUAAUUAUGCAAUCAUCAAUAUUUUCAAAAUAAAGCCAAUUGUUUUUAAGAAGAUAUACAAUUGUGUUUACAUAUGGCAUUCUCUUUUUUUUCAGAUCAAGUGUAUAGUCAAGGUAAAAUUCUAAACAUACUAAACUUAAUGUCUAAGUAUAGAAUAUGUUUAUGUGUAAGCCUCGAUGUGUGCAUAUAUAAUAUGUACUGCUGUCUAUGUAAAUCAUUAAAAGGGUAACACAUUUUGCCAUGUUGGACUUGAACAUUGUGACUUGGGGUUUGGAUGAUUUAAAACUCUUUGAUAUUUGGGUCAAUUACAUUGCAGCAAAAUGUGUGUAAUAUGGAAAAAAUGUCUUAUUAUAUUUCCCUUUAAAUAUUAUGAAGUUUCAAAUUUAAGGGGAAUUUUUUUAAAGAAAUGCUGUUGGAUUUGUCUCAACCAAAUGUGAAAAUUCUUUUGAAGUGUUCAAUUGUUCCCAAAUAUAACUGGGUUUGCCCACCCUAAAAGCAUCUACAUUUACACAUGUAUACACCCACGUACAGUAUACAUACUGUAUAUAAUAUAUAUGAAAAUGUUUAGUAUGCACUUCUUUUGAUUGGAACUCCUUAACAUUUAUAGUGUAGCAACUUGUGUAAAGUGCACUGUGAUUAUAAAAAACAAAGCACAGUAAAGUCACAGGUCUUGUUAUCUUGCACUAAAAAUGUGUUUACGUAUUUAGCAGUUGUAUGUUUACUUUCUUGCUCUUUCAGACAUUGAAACAAAUAGCUAUGAGAAGAUGAUAUAAAAAUAAUAUGUUUUUUAGUGGAUAACGGCACUACAUUUUUAAAAGACAGGGUUUUUAAAGAAAACCAUUUAACAUCCAUUCCAAUAUAACAUGUUUACCAUAUCUAAAAAUUUGAAUGUCAUAUUGCAUUUUUCAUAAUUCAUUAGAAAUGUCAGGUAUGUGCCUGAAAAUUUGUGCAAAUAAGCAUUAGAUAACAGAUUUCUCUACUCAUGUGUUAUUAGCCAUUUCUAUAUAUAUAAUAAUAUAAACACUGAUGUUUUAAUGUCUCUUAAUUUUUGUACUUGAUUUUUUUAGGUAACAUGUAAUUAUAAAUGUACUUUGAUACUACUGAAGUAACCAGAUGUUGUUUGAAAAUAAAUUGUUUUCUUUAGUGCAUUGACAAUAUUUUACAAUACUUUUUGUGAUUAUUUAUUUGUGCUCCCGUGUAAUUAUAAUAAAAGCAAUAGUUUAAAUUA
RNAcentral lists this long non-coding RNA (5151 nucleotides) under Pan troglodytes (chimpanzee). RNAcentral describes it as "lincRNA". The record is from RNAcentral. Lineage: Eukaryota; Metazoa; Chordata; Mammalia; Primates; Hominidae.